This 527-nucleotide long non-coding RNA is filed under the name Medicago truncatula (barrel medic). RNAcentral describes it as "long non-coding RNA (MTRU_LNC006393)". The record is from RNAcentral. Lineage: Eukaryota; Viridiplantae; Streptophyta; Magnoliopsida; Fabales; Fabaceae.
UGCAUAACAACCUUAGCCUAUCUUCCAUAACUAUGUUCUCUUGUACGAACCCGGUAGAAGCAUCAACAACUGUCAUUAACAGCUGUCCUCGCCGUUCACCUAUGCCGCCGAACAGGUGAUCUGGAUCUUGACCUAUGCUGCCGAACAGGUGAUCUGGAUCUUGACCUAUGCUUCCGAACAGGUGAUCUUGACUUAUGCUUCCGAACAGGUGAUUUUGAUCUUGAUCUAUGCUUCCGAACAGGUGAUCUGGAUCUUGACUUAUGCUUCCGAACAGGUGAUCUGGAUCUUGACCUAUGCUUCCGAACAGGUGAUCUGGAUCUUGACCUAUGCUUCCGAACUGGUGAUUUGGAUCUUGACCUUCUUACCCUGCAUAAAAAGGAAACCCUGUAAAUAAACAAGGCACAGCUGUAGUAUAAAUGGGAACCCAUACAAAUUCACCUGAGUAGCUUAUAUUGUUAUAUGAUGAUGGUAGUUUGUCUCAAAAAUAUAAACCUUAAACAUGAUUAACUUAAUGGCAACAAACCUGG